Molecule: ribosomal RNA, 142 nt
Filed under: Candida tropicalis
Lineage: Eukaryota; Fungi; Ascomycota; Pichiomycetes; Serinales; Debaryomycetaceae
Description: 5.8S ribosomal RNA
Rfam family: 5.8S ribosomal RNA
About the family: 5.8S ribosomal RNA (5.8S rRNA) is a component of the large subunit of the eukaryotic ribosome. It is transcribed by RNA polymerase I as part of the 45S precursor that also contains 18S and 28S rRNA.
Source: RNAcentral
GAUCUCUUGGUUCUCGCAUCNAUGAAGAACGCAGCGAAAUGCGAUACGUAAUAUGAAUUGCAGAUAUUCGUGAAUCAUCGAAUCUUUGAACGCACAUUGCGCCCUUUGGUAUUCCAAAGGGCAUGCCUGUUUGAGCGUCNUU